Molecule: small RNA, 136 nt
Filed under: Chromatiales bacterium
Lineage: Bacteria; Pseudomonadati; Pseudomonadota; Gammaproteobacteria; Chromatiales
Description: partial 6S RNA
Rfam family: 6S / SsrS RNA
About the family: E. coli 6S RNA was the first non coding RNA to be sequenced, but its function was unknown until recently. It consists of 184 nucleotides that fold into an extended hairpin structure with a large single-stranded internal bulge.
Source: RNAcentral
UAAUUCUGCAGUCGGGGACAUGACGUUGGUGCCGUGUGCAUGUCCGCGCGUCGGAAAGCCUGACGCGCCAAUCGUUGUCCCCACUUAUCGCUCUGGUUCCAGGGGCGAUGGUGCAAACGGCACAGGUGGGGGACGC